UUUAGAGCCGGGAUGUAUAAUCUUUCAUUGCAGAAGAUAAUGUUAUUUCUUACUUUCCAAAUGAGAUAACAUAAGGCACCAAAGGCAAAGCGAGCCAAGGAUUGGUGGAAGGAUGCAUCAGAAAGGUGUUCAGUAACCCAUAAAAGAUUGUCAUUCCAAGCAAGAUUCCUCCAAGGAUUAGAUAGUGAUCCAAUGGCAGCUGUGUUUUUGAGGAAAAGAGAUGGGAUGUUUCAGGAACUUGGGAGGAUCAGACGUUAUAUUGAGUAGGUUGGAUCCCCCAUGGAUUGAAAAGAUGCAUUUAGCUCAUCAGUUUGACUGUUCGGCUUUUAGUUAUGGAUUGAAAAGAACUUAUAUGCUACAUACUUUUACUAUGGUUAUAAAUCGACUUAAUUUUUGGUUAUUUCCUGAAGAUGGAAUAUAGAACAAUAGAUGCUCAUCUCUUUUCUUACCUUUGAUGUUGGACGAUCUUAUGUUUGGUAGGAAUUCGAAUGUGAUUUGGCAAUUUAGUAACUAUGACUUGCAAUUUCCCUUGCAA
Eucalyptus grandis is the source of this 535-nucleotide long non-coding RNA. RefSeq lists it as uncharacterized. NCBI's taxonomy places the organism in Eukaryota, Viridiplantae, Streptophyta, Magnoliopsida, Myrtales, Myrtaceae. The record is from RefSeq and is a predicted model, not a curated record. The transcript has 2 exons.